Molecule: ribosomal RNA, 3109 nt
Filed under: Salmonella enterica subsp. enterica serovar Worthington
Lineage: Bacteria; Pseudomonadati; Pseudomonadota; Gammaproteobacteria; Enterobacterales; Enterobacteriaceae
Description: 23S ribosomal RNA
Rfam family: Bacterial large subunit ribosomal RNA
Source: RNAcentral
GGGUUGUGAGGUUAAGCGACUAAGCGUACACGGUGGAUGCCCUGGCAGUCAGAGGCGAUGAAGGGCGUGCUAAUCUGCGAUAAGCGCCGGUAAGGUGAUAUGAACCGUUAUAACCGGCGAUACCCGAAUGGGGAAACCCAGUGUGAUUCGUCACACUAUCAUUAACUGAAUCCAUAGGUUAAUGAGGCGAACCGGGGGAACUGAAACAUCUAAGUACCCCGAGGAAAAGAAAUCAACCGAGAUUCCCCCAGUAGCGGCGAGCGAACGGGGAGGAGCCCAGAGCCUGAAUCAGCAUGUGUGUUAGUGGAAGCGUCUGGAAAGGCGCGCGAUACAGGGUGACAGCCCCGUACACAAAAGCGCAUGUGCUGUGAGCUCGAUGAGUAGGGCGGGACACGUGGUAUCCUGUCUGAAUAUGGGGGGACCAUCCUCCAAGGCUAAAUACUCCUGACUGACCGAUAGUGAACCAGUACCGUGAGGGAAAGGCGAAAAGAACCCCGGCGAGGGGAGUGAAAAAGAACCUGAAACCGUGUACGUACAAGCAGUGGGAGCCCCACCACUAAGCCAGUGGUGAACUCCACAUACGCAUCCUUUGCUGAGGAUACGGUUAACGGAGCGAAAGCGACGUUCAACCGCAAAAGAAGCAGAGGGGGCUUAGUGGUGGGGUGACUGCGUACCUUUUGUAUAAUGGGUCAGCGACUUAUAUUCUGUAGCAAGGUUAACCGAAUAGGGGAGCCGGAGGGAAACCGAGUCUUAAUUGGGCGUUAAGUUGCAGGGUAUAGACCCGAAACCCGGUGAUCUAGCCAUGGGCAGGUUGAAGGUUGGGUAACACUAACUGGAGGACCGAACCGACUAAUGUUGAAAAAUUAGCGGAUGACCUGUGGCUGGGGGUGAAAGGCCAAUCAAACCGGGAGAUAGCUGGUUCUCCCCGAAAGCUAUUUAGGUAGCGCCUCGUGAAUUCAUCUCCGGGGGUAGAGCACUGUUUCGGCUAGGGGGCCAUCCCGGCUUACCAACCCGAUGCAAACUGCGAAUACCGGAGAAUGUUAUCACGGGAGACACACGGCGGGUGCUAACGUCCGUCGUGAAGAGGGAAACAACCCAGACCGCCAGCUAAGGUCCCAAAGUCAUGGUUAAGUGGGAAACGAUGUGGGAAGGCCCAGACAGCCAGGAUGUUGGCUUAGAAGCAGCCAUCAUUUAAAGAAAGCGUAAUAGCUCACUGGUCGAGUCGGCCUGCGCGGAAGAUGUAACGGGGCUAAACCAUGCACCGAAGCUGCGGCAGCGAACGUAUCACUUAAAGCGAUUCAGCGGGUUACGAUUGACGGAGCGAAGCGACGUCAAAGCGUAUACAAAGUCGAGUCGGUUUAAGGAUACGUUCGUUGGGUAGGGGAGCGUUCUGUAAGCCUGUGAAGGUGGCCUGUGAGGGUUGCUGGAGGUAUCAGAAGUGCGAAUGCUGACAUAAGUAACGAUAAAGCGGGUGAAAAGCCCGCUCGCCGGAAGACCAAGGGUUCCUGUCCAACGUUAAUCGGGGCAGGGUGAGUCGACCCCUAAGGCGAGGCCGAAAGGCGUAGUCGAUGGGAAACGGGUUAAUAUUCCCGUACUUGGUGUUACUGCGAAGGGGGGACGGAGAAGGCUAUGUUGGCCGGGCGACGGUUGUCCCGGUUUAAGCGUGUAGGUGUGUGUUCCAGGUAAAUCCGGUUCACUUUAACACUGAGGCGUGAUGACGAGGCACUACGGUGCUGAAGCAACAAAUGCCCUGCUUCCAGGAAAAGCCUCUAAGCAUCAGGUAACAUCAAAUCGUACCCCAAACCGACACAGGUGGUCAGGUAGAGAAUACCAAGGCGCUUGAGAGAACUCGGGUGAAGGAACUAGGCAAAAUGGUGCCGUAACUUCGGGAGAAGGCACGCUGACAUGUAGGUGAAGUGAUUUACUCAUGGAGCUGAAGUCAGUCGAAGAUACCAGCUGGCUGCAACUGUUUAUUAAAAACACAGCACUGUGCAAACACGAAAGUGGACGUAUACGGUGUGACGCCUGCCCGGUGCCGGAAGGUUAAUUGAUGGGGUCAGCGCAAGCGAAGCUCCUGAUCGAAGCCCCGGUAAACGGCGGCCGUAACUAUAACGGUCCUAAGGUAGCGAAAUUCCUUGUCGGGUAAGUUCCGACCUGCACGAAUGGCGUAAUGAUGGCCAGGCUGUCUCCACCCGAGACUCAGUGAAAUUGAACUCGCUGUGAAGAUGCAGUGUACCCGCGGCAAGACGGAAAGACCCCGUGAACCUUUACUAUAGCUUGACACUGAACAUUGAGCCUUGAUGUGUAGGAUAGGUGGGAGGCUUUGAAGUGUGGACGCCAGUCUGCAUGGAGCCGACCUUGAAAUACCACCCUUUAAUGUUUGAUGUUCUAACGUGGACCCGUAAUCCGGGUUGCGGACAGUGUCUGGUGGGUAGUUUGACUGGGGCGGUCUCCUCCUAAAGAGUAACGGAGGAGCACGAAGGUUGGCUAAUCCUGGUCGGACAUCAGGAGGUUAGUGCAAUGGCAUAAGCCAGCUUGACUGCGAGCGUGACGGCGCGAGCAGGUGCGAAAGCAGGUCAUAGUGAUCCGGUGGUUCUGAAUGGAAGGGCCAUCGCUCAACGGAUAAAAGGUACUCCGGGGAUAACAGGCUGAUACCGCCCAAGAGUUCAUAUCGACGGCGGUGUUUGGCACCUCGAUGUCGGCUCAUCACAUCCUGGGGCUGAAGUAGGUCCCAAGGGUAUGGCUGUUCGCCAUUUAAAGUGGUACGCGAGCUGGGUUUAGAACGUCGUGAGACAGUUCGGUCCCUAUCUGCCGUGGGCGCUGGAGAACUGAGGGGGGCUGCUCCUAGUACGAGAGGACCGGAGUGGACGCAUCACUGGUGUUCGGGUUGUCAUGCCAAUGGCACUGCCCGGUAGCUAAAUGCGGAAGAGAUAAGUGCUGAAAGCAUCUAAGCACGAAACUUGCCCCGAGAUGAGUUCUCCCUGAGACUUUAGGUCUCCUGAAGGAACGUUGAAGACGACGACGUUGAUAGGCCGGGUGUGUAAGCGCAGCGAUGCGUUGAGCUAACCGGUACUAAUGAACCGUGAGGCUUAACCUUACAACGCCGAAG